This 906-nucleotide long non-coding RNA is filed under the name Lynx pardinus (Iberian lynx). Lineage: Eukaryota; Metazoa; Chordata; Mammalia; Carnivora; Felidae. The record is from RNAcentral.
CUGGUAUACUGACACGGGGUUCUCUGAACACCAAACUCCACCAUGGGGACAUGCUGUGUUUCUCACCAUGGGCACAAUUGAUACUUUGGGUGGGAUAUUUCUUCAGCACGUGGGACUGUCCUGUUCCUUGUGGGAACAUUCAGCACCAUUUCUUUUUCCCAUUAAAGAGCAGCUGAAGCCCCAGUCAUUGUGGGACAAGAUAAUGAGUGCUAUCAGGACCUUUCCCAACAUUCCUAGAUACGGAGGAUGGGUAGUGGGGUGGUGGUCCCCUGGUGGAGAACCUGUGUUAGGAGGCCAGGGAAAUAAUAUUCUUCCUCUUCCUUCCUCCCCUGUCCUUAGGUCUGUAUUACCCACAUGCCCCAGGGCUUCCCAGGGAAUGACGAGUGCAGAUGGAGAGACCUGCCAAUCCUUAACAGUCCUGUGGAACCUACAUUCUUAGCUCUAUGAAGAACUACUCAAGGACGAGGCUUACCUCUUGCCAUAGCUUUGCCUGGGGCAGAGCACAGAAUGGAUCUUAAAGACACACUCAAAAAAUUUGGAUGAUUUGAAAAAAAUACUUAAAACUUCAGAGUCUGGCUGGGUAGCACGUGCAGUUACCUCCAUAGGAACUGUGAUGCCAUUGAUAUUUAGGGAAAACACUGCUUCCGGCAUAUUAUCGACCCCCCUCCAUUCUCUAUUUUGUACUUCAGGACCAGCAAUUAGUCAAGUGUGAAACUUUCUUUAUCCUAUGUGUCUUUUCAAUUUUAUUUCAUAGAUUCUCCACAUUUUGCCUAAUUUUGGGAGGCUCCCUCUCAACUUCAUAGCAUCAAGUUGCUUCUGAGUUGUACCCAGGAUUUCUUCAUCGUCUGGUGCAGGUGUAAAAAGGUUAUCCACAAUAUUUUCACCUUCACGAUCUGUUGCUGUUUG